RNAcentral lists this ribosomal RNA (103 nucleotides) under uncultured eukaryote. RNAcentral describes it as "partial small subunit ribosomal RNA". It matches the Rfam family "Eukaryotic small subunit ribosomal RNA", at positions 1676 to 1785 of the family's 1831-position model. The record is from RNAcentral.
UCGCUUCAACCGAUUGGAUGAUCCGGCAAAUUCUACGGACUGACUAACUGCUUCGGCAGAUUAGCUAGGAAGUAGCGUGAGCCUUAUCAUCUAGAGGAUGAAG